This 5802-nucleotide long non-coding RNA is filed under the name Olea europaea subsp. europaea. Lineage: Eukaryota; Viridiplantae; Streptophyta; Magnoliopsida; Lamiales; Oleaceae. The record is from RNAcentral.
CUUUCCUUCCUUCCCCUUCUUAAGUAGACUUACUCUCUACCAUUUCAAAAAUGAGGAGCUCUCGGUUUUUCUCCCAGCAGAAAGUGAGCUCUCGGUUUUAGCUUAAGGUGGUGGUUCUUUGCCGGAUUUUUUUUCCCCUCUCUCUUGGAAGGUGAUUUGCAAGUCAUGGAGGACUGUUCCUGAGCCUGAAAAACACCCAUAAAUCGAAGAAGAAGCUGCUGAAACGAGGAAGGAAAACUGCAGAAAUUUCGGCCAAGUACAGGUUGCAUUUUUCCAUCCCUUUUUCAUUGUUUUGCCUUAGAAUAUCUUCUAUUGGUUGAUGUUUUGGUUGAUUGAACUCCUAGGAUCCCCAACAAACUGGUAUCAGAGCUAGGAGGAGUGAUAUUAGUCCAAAAUCGAUCAAAAACCAACAAGGAAAUCGCCAUUACCACUUUCUGACCGAAUCUGAAAACUUGAUUUUCGGCCAACCUAUUGACUUUCCGGCGAAAUGGACCAUGGAACCAUGACCAGCAGGAGGAGGCGCAACCUGUGGUGGGGCGCGUGACCGGCGGCGGCGCGUGGCCGGACCUCCGGCGAGCACUUUUCGGGCAGUUUACUUAUUUUGACGUCCUGAAUGCACUGAUGUCGUUUGUUUUCUGUUUCAGAUUUUACAGAAAAAGUUGGACGAUUUUGCCCCUAGCUUGACGUCUACGGCAAUUUGGUUCAGAAACUUUGUGGUAUAUUUACUGUUUGUCAACAGUAGUUUUGUAAGAUUAUUCCGAACUCUCCAUUAGGUUAGGUUUGGUAUCCUUACCGGUUUAUGCAUGGUUAUUGCUUGGUUGCUUAUUUGUGAAUUCUAUUGAUUGAAUUCUUGUGAUUAAUUUGUAACCUGGAAGCAUAUUUACCUGCUUUACAUACCUGUGUUUCGUGAACGGAUUAUUUCACUGUUGUGAUUCAUUUCUAAAAAUUGUUUUUUAACUCGGUACUCAGUUUUAUAUUGAUCAUCUGGAAAAGAAUUUUUUCAAAACCUUUUCUGUUGUGUCCACGAGUACAGGCCACUCUUUUAUAAAAUCUAUAAUGGGUUCGAGGGUCGAAUUAUCGCAAUUCGAUGGAAAGGGGGAUUACUCGAUAUGGAAACAGAAAAUGAGGGCCAUUUUGGUCCAACAGAGAGUUGCUAAAGCUCUUGAUGAUCCCGCUACAUUUUCUGAUGAGUUAAAAGCUAAAACAACUGAAAUUGAAGACAUGAAUGAAAUUGCUUACAGUUAUAUAAUUUUGCAUCUAUCUGACAAUAUUGUGAGACAAGUUGAUAGUGCUAAAACUGCUAGAGCUUUGUGGAUUGCUUUAGAUGCCCUGUUCUUAACUAAAACUUUACCUAACAAAAUAUACCUGUUGGAGAAGUUGUUUAGUUUUAAGAUGGACCCGGGGAAGGAUGUCGAGGGGAAUUUGAGUGACUUUAGCAUAAUUGUUAAGAGUCUAGCUCAUAAUGAUAAAACAUUUGAUGAUGAGGAUUUAGCUGUCAUAUUGCUAAACUCUUUGCCCGAAUCUUACAGAGAAAUGAAAAAUACCAUAAAGUAUGGUAGGGACACUCUCACUCAAGCUAUUGUUUCUGAUGUUUUAAAAUCAAGAGAACUUGAAUUAAAAAGAGAGAACAGAAUUCAUUCUCGUGAAGAGAGUCUAUUUGUUAGGGGAAGAUCUGAAAAGAAAGAAUUCAACUUCUAUAACAAGAAGGGGAGAGAAAAAUCUAAAAUGAGAUCCAAAUCUAAAGAUAAAAGCUGUAAGAAAUGUUAUCACUAUGGAAAGUUAGGACAUUUCAAGAAAGACUGCUUUGAUUGGAAAAGGAAACAAAAAGACCCGAACAAUUCUGAUGUUGAUAACGCUGCUAUUGCUACUAAAUUUAAUAGUUUGCAUGUCAUGAAUGUGUCUGAAGAAGAAUUUGACAAAAAUUGGAUUCUUAACACAGGGUGAACUUUCCAUAUGUGCCCUGGUAGGUCUUGGUUUUAUAACUAUAGGGAGACUGAACCUAGGAAGGUCUACAUGGGAGACAAUAAUUCUCAAGAUGUGAUUGGAAUUGGUGACAUAGCCAUCAGGAUGUACGAUGGGGCCGUCACGCAGCUUAGAAAUGUUAGAUAUAUCCAAAAUUUAAAGAGGAACCUCAUUUCCUUAGGUUCUCUGGAAGAUGAGGGAUAUACCUUCAAGUCUGGUAACAAGAUUUUGAAAAUUAUGAAGGGUUCUCUUAUAGUUAUGAAGGGGCCCAAGAGGAAUGGGCUGUACUAUCUUGAGGGUAGAACUGAAAUACCAUUUGAUUCUAGCCUUCUUGCUGUGAGUAAAGACAAAACUGAACUUUGGCAUAACAGAAUGGGUCACAUUGGGUUUAAAGGUCUAAAAUCUUUAAGUAAUCAGAAACUACUUGGAAAAGAUGACAUUGAAACUUUGGAAUUCUGUGAAACUUGUGUUUUGGGUAAGUCUCAUAAGAUGAGCUUUGAAGCUAGCUCUCAUAGGACCAGCAGACCAUUGGACUAUGUCCAUGCUGAUCUAUGGGGCCCGGAGAAGCACUCUACAUUUGGUGGGAGCAAGUACUUCUUGUCCUUAGUGGAUGAUUACUCAAGAAAGGUUUGGAUUUAUCCUUUGAAGGCUAAGUCGGAAACUUUUGGAAAAUUCAGGAUUUGGUUAAAGUCUGUUGAGAAUCAGUUAGACAAGAAACUUAAAACGUUAAGAACUGAUAAUGGGCUUGAAUUCUGUAAUAGCGAAUUUGACAACUUCUGUAAGCAGAAAGGUAUAACAAGACACAGAACUGUUAAAUACACACCUGAACAAAAUGGGGUCGCUGAAAGAAUGAACAGAACCAUAAUGAACAAAGUUAGGUGUAUGUUGAUUAGCUCUGGCCUUGCGAAAGGUUUUUGGGCUGAAGCUACAAGUAUUGCAGCUUAUCUGAUUAAUAGGCCGUCCAGCAGUAUAGGGUUUAAGACCCCACAGGAGUUGUGGACGGGAGAGCCUCCAAAUCUGGAACACUUGAGGGUGUUUGGAUGUGCUGCAUAUGCACAUCAAUCUGAAGGAAAACUUGAGCCCAGGGCUGUCAAGUGUGUGAUGUUAGGGUACCCCAAGGGUGUGAAGGGCUAUAGGUUAUGGGUUUUAGGGGUCCAAGGCAUUAAGAUUAUUAAUAGCAGGAAUGUAGUCUUUAAUGAAUCUGAGAUGCCAUGUCUAAAACAGAAAACCGAAGAAACUAACAAAUCUGAAACUGAGAAGAGUAUUCAGACUGAGGUGAAGCUGACUAGGCUAAAUUCAUCUACACCUGGGAAUGACGAAAAUGACCCUAUACAUCAUGAAAAUGAAAAUGAAAUUGAAAUUGAACCUGAACUUGAACCUGAAGAGGUGACUGAACUCCAAGAUAACAUUGAACCAGUUGAAGUUGAACAUUUUAAUGAUCAGCCACCUAAUCAAGAUUAUCAGCUUACUAGGGAUCGGGGGAGGAGGCAAAUCAGGCCAAAUCCUAGAUAUGAAUCCCUAAACUUGACUGAUUUUGCCUUGGUUUCAGGUGAAGCCCUUGAACAGAUAGAACCUGCUAGUUAUGAAGAAGCUGUUAAUGGAAAAUGUUCUGAAAAUUGGCUAAAAGCUAUGCGGGAAGAAAUGGAAUCUCUAAUGGAGAAUAAAACUUGGAAGUUAGUUAACAAACCUAAGGAUCAUAGGAUAGUUCAAUGUAAGUGGAUUUACAAAUUGAAAGAAGGAAAUAAUCCUAGUGAUCCUCCUAGGUAUAAGGCCAGAUUAGUGGCGAAAGGGUUCACUCAAAAGGAGGGGGUUGAUUACAAUGAGAUAUUCUCUCCUGUGAUAAAGUACAAAACAAUCAGAAUGGUUCUUGCAUUGGUUAUUCAGUACAACUGGGAACUGGAACAACUAGAUGUCAAGACUGCUUUCCUACAUGGGGAAUUNGUGCACAAUCUCCUAAGACUGAGGAGGAAUUUAGAGAAAUGAGGAACAUACCUUACGCUAAUGCUAUAGGUUCCGUCAUGUUCUCUAUGAUAACAACCAAGCCUGACUUAGCCUAUGCUAUAAGUUUUUUGAGCAGAUUUAUGUCAAACCCAGGAAAGCCUCAUUGGGCAGGUUUGAAAUGGUUGUUAAGGUACAUUGUUGGUACAUUAAAUCUGGGUCUAGUGUAUGAAAAGAGAUCUGAAAAACUUACUCUAAAGGGGUAUGUAGACUCUGAUUUUGCUGGUGACAAGGAUAGCAGAAAGUCUACCACAGCGUACUUUUUUACACUAGGUGACAAUUGUAUAACAUGGAAGUCACAGCUGCAGUCUUUAGUUACUUUGUCAAGUACUGAGGCAGAAUAUGUUGCCAUAACUGAGGCGGCUAAAGAAUGUACUUGGUUAAAAGGAAUUUUAAAAGAAUUGAACUGCAUGCAUGAUACACCUGUUAUGUUUACUGAUAGUCAAAGUGCUUUAUUGCUUUGUAAAAAUCCUGUUUACCAUGAAAGAACUAAACAUAUUGAGGUAAAGUAUCAUUUUAUUCGUGAGAAACUGUCUCAAGGUGAAGUUAAUCUUGUUAAAAUUCACACUGAUAGGAAUCCCUAUGAUAUGGGAACAAAAAUUCUACCUGCAGGUAAAUUUAAAUUGUGCUUAUUUUUAUUACAUAUUGACACUGGUUAAUUUUUUCUUGCAGGUAGUGGGCGAUGAUGAUGAACAGUUCUUCCAUGUGCAAAUUCGCAACCAAGAGAGAGUGUUAGGAGAACCAAGGUGAAGAAUGUGAGAAUAUGGUUCACUUAACACCAUCUAUUCAGUUUUUUGUGGACCAUUGGAUGAAGAUCGACGGCCGAGAUUUCAUCUUGGGGGAGAUGUUGUGACUUGAUGGUAUUGAUGUUGACACAAUAAGGUCUUCCCACGUUUUUGGCAAAGGCAUGGUCUUUCCUUCCUUCCCCUUUUUAAGUAGACUUACUCUCUACCAUUUCAAAAAUGAGGAGCUCUCGGUUUUUCUCCUAGCAGAAAGUGAGCUCUCGGUUUUAGCUUAAGGUAGUGGUUCUUUGCCGGAUUUUUUUUUCCCCUCUCUCUUGGAAUGGUGAUUUGCAAGUCAUGGAGGGCUGUUCCUGAGCCUGAAAAACACCCAUAAAUCGAAGAAGAAGCUGCUGAAACGAGGAAGGAAAACUGCAGAAAUUUCGGCCAAGUACAGGUUGCAUUUUUCCAUCCCUUUUUCAUUGUUUUGCCUUAGAAUAUCUUCUAUUGGUUGAUGUUUUGGUUGAUUGAACUCCAAGGAUCCCCAACAAGUAGAAUUCACCCGCAGCCCGAGGAUGGUACCCAGUGAGAUGAUUGAAGUCUUUAUCGCACUGAGCAAUUGUUAGAGAAACUGAGUCCCCCAACAUGUAACGAGAAAUAGGCCAGCCGGAGUUUAUUGGGCGGAUUAUAUUGCCAGAGAAUGGAAGAAAAUGCUUGAGAGUUUCGCGGAGAGAUUGUUUGAGCUUUGGAACAAUGGUUUCCAGGAAAUGAACCUUGGAGCAAGGGAAUUCAAAGAAGAGAAGCCCAUAUACUGGAUUAAAAUCCAAGCAUAUUAUAUCGAAGGAUACAAGGGGAAGUGUUAACUCAUUGACGUUGCUUGGUAAAGGCUGAAUAUGACAUUGCUCAAGAAUAGUAGCCAUUGGAAUUAUAAGCUCUGAAAAUAUUGAACCAACUAUAGAAACUCUUGAACUGGACAAUAGGGCGUCUUGUAUAUCCUAUCUCUUUAUAGAUACAGUCAAAUAAUUUGGUUCCUAGCCAAUCAACUCUUUCCUCACAUAAUAUCUCAUCAGCCAUCUUGCUCGCCUAACACUUUAUUUUCCUUUUCGGAAAUUUUCAAUAUUGG